This 465-nucleotide ribosomal RNA is filed under the name uncultured bacterium. Its description in RNAcentral is "partial 16S ribosomal RNA". It matches the Rfam family "Bacterial small subunit ribosomal RNA", at positions 339 to 795 of the family's 1533-position model. The record is from RNAcentral.
CUACGGGUUGCUGCAGUGAGGGAUUUUGCGCAAUGGGGGAAACCCUGACGCAGCAACGCCGCGUGAGUGAAGAAGGCCCUUGGGUCGUAAAGCUCUGUCAACAGGGAAGAAGUUACGGAUUUUUAAUAGAGAUUUGUAUUGACGGUACCUGUGAAGGAAGCACCGGCUAACUCCGUGCCAGCAGCCGCGGUAAUACGGGGGGUGCAAGCGUUAUUCGGAAUUAUUGGGCGUAAAGGGCGCGCAGGCGGCCUUGUCAGUCAGAUGUGAAAGCCCAGGGCUCAACCCUGGAUGUGCAUUUGAAACAGCAAGGCUUGAGUACGGUAGAGGAAAGGGGAAUUCCUGGUGUAGAGGUGAAAUUCGUAGAUAUCAGGAGGAACACCGGUGGCGAAGGCGCCUUUCUGGACCUGUACUGACGCUGAGGCGCGAAGGCGUGGGUAGCGAACAGGAUUAGAUACCCCCGUAGUC